Molecule: ribosomal RNA, 301 nt
Filed under: uncultured bacterium
Lineage: Bacteria
Description: partial 16S ribosomal RNA
Rfam family: Bacterial small subunit ribosomal RNA
Source: RNAcentral
CACAGCCGCGGGAAUACGUAGGGUGCAAGCGUUAAUCGGAAUUACUGGGCGUAAAGCGUGCGCAGGCGGUUAUAUAAGACAGAUGUGAAAUCCCCGGGCUCAACCUGGGAACUGCAUUUGUGACUGUAUAGCUAGAGUACGGCAGAGGGGGAUGGAAUUCCGCGUGUAGCAGUGAAAUGCGUAGAUAUGCGGAGGAACACCGAUGGCGAAGGCAAUCCCCUGGGCCUGUACUGACGCUCAUGCACGAAAGCGUGGGGAGCAAACAGGAUUAGAUACCCCCGUAGUCCCUGUCUCUUAUACA